This 460-nucleotide ribosomal RNA is filed under the name uncultured bacterium. Its description in RNAcentral is "partial 16S ribosomal RNA". It matches the Rfam family "Bacterial small subunit ribosomal RNA", at positions 338 to 795 of the family's 1533-position model. The record is from RNAcentral.
CCUACGGGUGGCAGCAGUGAGGAAUAUUGGUCAAUGGACGAGAGUCUGAACCAGCCAAGUAGCGUGAAGGAUGACUGCCCUAUGGGUUGUAAACUUCUUUUAUAUGGGAAUAAAAUGUUCCACGUGUGGGAUUUUGUAUGUACCAUAUGAAUAAGGAUCGGCUAACUCCGUGCCAGCAGCCGCGGUAAUACGGAGGAACCGAGCGUUAUCCGGAUUUAUUGGGUUUAAAGGGAGCGUAGGUGGAUUGUUAAGUCAGUUGUGAAAGUUUGCGGCUCAACCGUAAAAUUGCAGUUGAAACUGGCAGUCUUGAGUACAGUAGAGGUGGGCGGAAUUCGUGGUGUAGCGGUGAAAUGCUUAGAUAUCACGAAGAACUCCGAUUGCGAAGGCAGUUCACUGGACUGCAACUGACACUGAGGCUCGAAAGUGUGGGUAUCAAACAGGAGUAGAUACCCCAGUAGUC